AGUGGCAGACGGGUGAGUAACGCGUAGGUAAUGUACCUCUUCGCUGGGGAUACCUAUCCGAAAGGAUAGCUAAUACCGAAUGAACUUAUCGAACGGCAUCGUUUGAUUCGUAAACCUCCGGGGCGAAGAGAUCAGCUUGCGUACUAUCAGCUAGUAGGUGGGGUAACGGCCUACCUAGGCUACGACGGUUAGCCGGUCUGAGAGGAUGAUUGGCCACAUUGGAACUGAAACACGGUCCAGACUCCUACGGGAGGCAGCAGUGAGGAAUCUUGCGCAAUGGGCGAAAGCCUGACCCAGCAACGCCGCGUGAGGGAAGAAGGUUUUCGGAUUGUAAACCUCUGUCCUCAGGGACGAAGGAAGUGACGGUACCUGAGGAGGAAGCCCCGGCUAACUACGUGCCAGCAGCCGCGGUAAUACGUAGGGGGCAAGCGUUGUCCGGAAUGACUGGGCGUAAAGGGCGUGUAGGCGGCCUGAUAAGUAUGAAGUGAAAGUCCUGCUUUCAAGGUGGGAAUUGCUUUGUAGACUGUCGGGCUUGAGUGCGGAAGAGGUAAGUGGAAUUCCCAGUGUAGCGGUGAAAUGCGUAGAGAUUGGGAGGAACACCAGUGGCGAAGGCGACUUACUGGGCCGUAACUGACGCUGAGGCGCGAAAGCGUGGGGAGCGAACAGGAUUAGAUACCCUGGUAGUCCACGCUGUAAACGAUGAAUGCUAGGUGUAGGGGGUAUCGACCCCUCCUGUGCCGGAGUAAACGCAAUAAGCAUUCCGCCUGGGGAGUACGGCCGCAAGGUUGAAACUCAAAGGAAUUGACGGGGGCCCGCACAAGCAGCGGAGCAUGUUGUUUAAUUCGAUGCAACGCGAAGAACCUUACCAGGUCUUGACAUCGAUGCAAAGUACUAGAGAUAGUAUGUGCCUUCGGGCAGCAGAAGACAGGUGGUGCAUGGUUGUCGUCAGCUCGUGUCGUGAGAUGUUGGGUUAAGUCCCGCAACGAGCGCAACCCCUGCCAUUAGUUGCUACGCAAGAGCACUCUAAUGGGACCGCUACCGACAAGGUGGAGGAAGGUGGGGACGACGUCAAAUCAUCAUGCCCCUUAUGACCUGGGCUACACACGUAAUACAAUGGCCGUUAACAGAGGGAAGCAAAACCGCGAGGCAGAGCAAAACCCUAAAAACGGUCCCAGUUCGGAUCGCAGGCUGCAACCCGCCUGCGUGAAGUUGGAAUUGCUAGUAAUCGCGGAUCAGCAUGCCGCGGUGAAUACGUUCCCGGGCCUUGCACUCACCGCCCGUCA
RNAcentral lists this ribosomal RNA (1283 nucleotides) under uncultured bacterium. Its description in RNAcentral is "bacterial SSU rRNA". It matches the Rfam family "Bacterial small subunit ribosomal RNA", at positions 94 to 1399 of the family's 1533-position model. The record is from RNAcentral.